GACGAACGCUGGCGGCGUGCUUAACACAUGCAAGUCGAACGGGCCCGCCCCUGUUUUUGGGGGUGGGUUGAGUGGCGACCGGGUGAGUAUCACGUGAGUAACCUGCCCCCUGCUCCUGGAUAACUGCUUGAAAGGGCGGCUAAUACGGGGUGUGCCGGCUGGUCCGCAUGGGCCUGGUCGGGAUAGUUUCAUCUUCGGGUGUUUCGGUGGGGGAUGGGCUCGCGGCCUAUCAGCUUGUUGGUGGGGUGAUGGCCCACCAAGGCGGUGACGGGUAGCCGGCCUGAGAGGGUGGGCGGCCACGCUGGGACUGAGACACGGCCCAGACUACUGCGGGAGGCAGCAGUGGGGGGUAUUGCACGAUGGGCGGAAGCCUGAUGCAGCGACGUCGCGUGAGGGAUGGAGGCCUUCGGGUUGUGAACCUCUUUCUCCGGUGGUGAAGGCCCUGUCCGUUGCGGCGGGGUUGACGGUAGCCGGGUAUGAAGCGCCGGCUAACUACGUG
Molecule: ribosomal RNA, 499 nt
Filed under: uncultured bacterium
Lineage: Bacteria
Description: partial 16S ribosomal RNA
Rfam family: Bacterial small subunit ribosomal RNA
Source: RNAcentral